AAUGAACGUUGGCGGCGUGGAUUAGGCAUGCAAGUCGAGCGUGUACCCCGCGAGGGGGAAAGCGGCGUAAGGGAGAGUAAUACGUAGAUACGUGCCUCCGGGUCUGGGAUAGCCACGGGAAACUGUGGGUAUUACCGGAUAAUGUCUGAGGACCAAAGGUGUGAUUCCACCUGGAGAUCGGUCUGCGUCCUAUCAUGCUUGUUGGUGAGGUAACGGCUCACCAAGGCUACGACGGGUACGGGGAGUGAGAGCUUGCCCCCGCUCACUGGGACUGAGACACUGCCCAGACACCUACGGGUGGCUGCAGUCGAGGAUCUUCGGCAAUGGGCGCAAGCCUGACCGAGCGACGCCGCGUGCGGGAUGAAGGCCUUCGGGUUGUAAACCGCUGUCAGUGGGGAGGAAGGCUCCGUGAAGAACGGGGUUUGACCUAUCCGCAGAGGAAGUGUGGGCUAAGUUCGUGCCAGCCGCCGCCGUAA
Molecule: ribosomal RNA, 476 nt
Filed under: uncultured bacterium
Lineage: Bacteria
Description: partial 16S ribosomal RNA
Rfam family: Bacterial small subunit ribosomal RNA
Source: RNAcentral